UGUCCAGUAGCACCUUAGAGACCAACUAAGUUUGUUCUGGGUAAAAGCUUUCAUGUGCAUGCACACUUCUUCAGAUACACUUCUUCAGAAGUGUGCAUGCACACGAAAGCUUAUACCUAGAACAAACUUAGUUGGUCUCUAAGGUGCUACUGGACA
Non-coding RNA from Podarcis lilfordi (Lilford's wall lizard), 156 nucleotides. NCBI's taxonomy places the organism in Eukaryota, Metazoa, Chordata, Lepidosauria, Squamata, Lacertidae. The record is from the annotation of a GenBank genome assembly.